Molecule: ribosomal RNA, 500 nt
Filed under: uncultured bacterium
Lineage: Bacteria
Description: partial 16S ribosomal RNA
Rfam family: Bacterial small subunit ribosomal RNA
Source: RNAcentral
AUUGAACGCUGGCGGAAUGCUUUACACAUGCAAGUCGAACGGCAGCACGGACUUCGGUCUGGUGGCGAGUGGCGAACGGGUGAGUAAUGUAUCGGAACGUGUCCAGUCGUGGGGGAUAACGUAGUGAAAAUUACGCUAAUACCGCAUACGAUCUAUGGAUGAAAGCGGGGGAUCGCAAGACCUCGCGCGACUGGUGAGGCCGAUAUCAGAUUAGGUAGUUGGUGGGGUAAAGGCCCACCAAGCCAACGAUCUGUAGCUGGUCUGAGAGGACGACCAGCCACACUGGAACUGAGACACGGUCCAGACUCCUACGGGAGGCAGCAGUGGGGAAUUUUGGACAAUGGGCGAAAGCCUGAUCCAGCCAUUCCGCGUGCAGGAUGAAGGCCCUCGGGUUGUAAACUGCUUUUGUACAGAACGAAAAGGUUUCUACUAAUUCUAGGAGCUCAUGACGGUACUGUAAGAAUAAGCACCGGCUAACUACGUGCCAGCAGCCGCCGUAA